This 510-nucleotide ribosomal RNA is filed under the name uncultured Pseudomonadota bacterium. RNAcentral describes it as "bacterial SSU rRNA". It matches the Rfam family "Bacterial small subunit ribosomal RNA", at positions 355 to 857 of the family's 1533-position model. Lineage: Bacteria; Pseudomonadati; Pseudomonadota. The record is from RNAcentral.
UGGGGAAUAUUGGACAAUGGGCGCAAGCCUGAUCCAGCAAUACCGCGUGUGUGAAGAAGGCCUGAGGGUUGUAAAGCACUUUUAAUCGGGAGGAACACCUGUCAGCUAAUACCUGGCAGUAUGACAUUACCGAUAGAAAAAGCACCGGCUAACUCCGUGCCAGCAGCCGCGGUAAUACGGAGGGUGCAAGCGUUAAUCGGAAUUACUGGGCGUAAAGCGUGCGUAGGCGGUUAUUUAAGUCAGAUGUGAAAGCCCCGGGCUUAACCUGGGAACUGCAUUUGAUACUGGGUAACUAGAGUUUAGUAGAGGAAAGUGGAAUUUCAGGUGUAGCGGUGAAAUGCGUAGAGAUCUGAAGGAACACCAGUGGCGAAGGCGACUUUCUGGACUAAAACUGACGCUGAGGUACGAAAGCGUGGGUAGCAAACAGGAUUAGAUACCCUGGUAGUCCACGCCGUAAACGAUGUCAACUAGCCGUUGGUCUUAUUCGUAAGAUUAGUGGCGCAGCUAACG